CAAGGUGCAAAAACACAACUCAGAAAAAGAGCAACCACAACUUAGUGGCAAUGACCAAUCUAUUCUGUUCUACAUACAUGUAGCUGGAUAUAUUGUGUAUAAAUUCUCUUUGUAAAAGAUUUUUUAGGUACAGUGUGCAUAAACUUGGUGUUAAUUUCAAACUUUACAAUCAAAUCAGAUAGUCAGAAUUUUGUUACCAAAUAUAGCAAAUGGCACGGUACAAUAUUCAAGACCGUGGUGGUCUCCAAAAGUCAUGUGACACUUUGUUUCUGCUAGUACGUGAGAUGGAACUGAUUGUUCGCAAAACUAGCAGCACAGUCUUAAGUGCAAAUUCUCUCUUAACUGAACCCUUGAUGGAAAAUAUUAUGAAGUUUCAUGAUCAAAUACUAUUGUAACAUUCUAAUGGCAAAUGAAGAGGGUUCAAUUGUUUGAGCCGUAACAAAAGACAUUAUCAAUUUAUUUCUAAGGAUACGUGGUGUUGCUGUUACCCGACUUAAGCGUAUAAUAAGACCAGCAUAUCUACCCAAAUGUCAUCCUUAAGUUUGAGACAGGCAUUGAAAGACAUAACCAAAAACAAAUACGAA
Molecule: long non-coding RNA, 584 nt
Filed under: Mytilus galloprovincialis (Mediterranean mussel)
Lineage: Eukaryota; Metazoa; Mollusca; Bivalvia; Mytilida; Mytilidae
Source: RNAcentral